GACGAACGCUGGCGGCGUGCUUAACACAUGCAAGUCGAACGGAAAGGCCCUGCUUUUGUGGGGUGCUCGAGUGGCGAACGGAUGAGUAACACGUGAGUAACCUGCCCUUGACUUUGGGAUAACUUCAGGAAACUGGGGCUAAUACCGGAUCGGUGCUCCUGCUGCAUGGUGUGGGUAGGAUAGUUUCGGCGGUUGGGGAUGGACUCGCGGCUUAUCAGCUUGUUGGUGGGGUAGUGGCUUACCAAGGCUUUGACGGGUAGCCGGCCUGAGAGGGUGACCGGCCACAUUGGGACUGAGAUACGGCCCAGACUCCUACGGGAGGCAGCAGUGGGGAAUAUUGCGCAAUGGGCGGAAGCCUGAUGCAGCGACGCCGCGUGCGGGAUGACGGCCUUCGGGUUGUAAACCGCUUUCGCCUGGGACGAAGCGUGAGUGACGGUAAUGGGUAAAGAAGCACCGGCUAACUACGUG
This 468-nucleotide ribosomal RNA is filed under the name uncultured bacterium. RNAcentral's name for it is "partial 16S ribosomal RNA". It matches the Rfam family "Bacterial small subunit ribosomal RNA", at positions 28 to 507 of the family's 1533-position model. The record is from RNAcentral.